This 849-nucleotide ribosomal RNA is filed under the name uncultured Nitrososphaerales archaeon. RNAcentral's name for it is "bacterial SSU rRNA". It matches the Rfam family "Archaeal small subunit ribosomal RNA", at positions 85 to 879 of the family's 1478-position model. The record is from RNAcentral. Lineage: Archaea; Thermoproteati; Nitrososphaerota; Nitrososphaeria; Nitrososphaerales.
ACKGCUCAGUAACACGUAGUCAACCUACCCUGGAGGCGUGGACAAACCCGGGAAACUGGGGCUAAUCCGCGAUAGGUCAUAUCAUCUGGAAGGAGAUAUGGCCCAAAGGGGUGGUGCGGGCUUCUUCCGCUCCAUUCGCUCCAGGAUGGGACUGCGGCCGAUCAGGCUGUUGGUGGGGUAAUGGCCCACCAAACCUGUAACCGGUACGGGCUUUGAGAGAAGGGGCCCGGAGAUGGACACUGAGACAAGGGUCCAGGCCCUACGGGGCGCAUCAGGCGCGAAACCUUCGCAAUGCGCGAAAGCGUGACGAGGCUAUUCCGAGUGUUUUCCGCUGAGGAGGACUUUUCCUAGCUGUAAAUAGGCUGGGGAAUAAGGGGAGGGCAAGUCUGGUGUCAGCCGCCGCGGUAAUACCAGCUCCUCGAGUGGUCGGGACGAUUAUUGGGCCUAAAGCAUCCGUAGCCUGUUCCGUAGGUCUCCUGUUAAAUUCAACCGCUCAACGGUUGACCCGCAGGAGAUACCGCGGGACUAGGAGGCGAGAGAGGCGGACGGUACUCCGCAGGUAGGGGUAAAAUCCUUUGAUCUGCGGAAGACCACCAGAUUGUCUGCGGGAUUCUUUCCCACGGACAAGGUGAAUGGCGAAGGCGGUCCGCCAGAACGCGCUCGACGGUGAGGGAUGAAAGCUGGGGGAGCGAACCGGAUUAGAUACCCGGGUAGUCCCAGCCGUAAACGAUGCGAGCUAGAUGAUCCGAUCGCAGUUCGCGAUCGGAGUGUCGCAGGGAAGCCGUUAAGCUCGCCGCCUGGGGAGUACGGUCGCAAGGCUGAAACUUAAAGGAAUUGGCGGGGGAGCAC